AGUGAACGCUGGCGGUAGGCCUAACACAUGCAAGUCGAACGGCAGCACAGUAAGAGCUUGCUCUUACGGGUGGCGAGUGGCGGACGGGUGAGGAAUACAUCGGAAUCUACUUUUUCGUGGGGGAUAACGUAGGGAAACUUACGCUAAUACCGCAUACGACCUACGGGUGAAAGCAGGGGAUCUUCGGACCUUGCGCGAUUGAAUGAGCCGAUGUCGGAUUAGCUAGUUGGCGGGGUAAAGGCCCACCAAGGCGACGAUCCGUAGCUGGUCUGAGAGGAUGAACAGCCACACUGGAACUGGAAAACGGGCCAGACCCCUAAGGGGGGGAGCAGGGGGGAAUAUUGGACAAUGGGGGGAAGCCCUAUCCCGCCCUUCCGGGGGGGGGAAGAAGGUCUUCGGGUUUUAAAACCCUUUUUGUUGGGAAGAAAAGCAGGAAGUUAAAACCCCCCUGUUUUGACGGGACCCAAAGAAAAAGCCCCGGCUAAAUUCGUG
This 492-nucleotide ribosomal RNA is filed under the name uncultured bacterium. Its description in RNAcentral is "partial 16S ribosomal RNA". It matches the Rfam family "Bacterial small subunit ribosomal RNA", at positions 29 to 507 of the family's 1533-position model. The record is from RNAcentral.